UGCGGCGUAGCGGUCGUGGAAGGCAUGGCUGCUCAGGAUGAGCUAGAUGAUUCUCUAAAUGCUAUGAUGAAAGAUCUACAGAAGCCACUUUCUUCUACAUACACAUCUGCUAUUCAGCAGAUGCUGGAUCAAAAUAUGCAAGAACUGGAGAAAAGCAUCCAUAUUAUUCAGGAAAACAUGAAUGAAGUCUCGGACAAGCUGGGAUCUUUCGAGGAUGUCCGAGACAUGCAGACAUACCACAGCAAGCUUCAG
This is a long non-coding RNA of Pollicipes pollicipes, 252 nucleotides long. RefSeq lists it as uncharacterized. The transcript is spliced from 3 exons. Lineage: Eukaryota; Metazoa; Arthropoda; Thecostraca; Pollicipedomorpha; Pollicipedidae. The record is from RefSeq and is a predicted model, not a curated record.